GCCAGGUGUGGUGGCACACACCUGUAAUCCCAGCUACUCAGGAGGCUGAGGCAGGAGGAUCACUUGAGCCCAGGAGUUGGAGGCUGCUGUGAGACAACCUCACCUCUGUACUCCAGCCUGGGCAACCAAGGGAGACCCUGUCUCUA
RNAcentral lists this small RNA (146 nucleotides) under Macaca fascicularis (crab-eating macaque). Its description in RNAcentral is "Metazoan signal recognition particle RNA (ENSMFAG00000061375.1)". The record is from Rfam by way of RNAcentral. Lineage: Eukaryota; Metazoa; Chordata; Mammalia; Primates; Cercopithecidae.